This 207-nucleotide ribosomal RNA is filed under the name uncultured bacterium. RNAcentral's name for it is "partial 16S ribosomal RNA". It matches the Rfam family "Bacterial small subunit ribosomal RNA", at positions 568 to 774 of the family's 1533-position model. The record is from RNAcentral.
CGAGUAGGCGGAUUUGUAAGUCAGUAGUGAAAUACCACGGCUCAACUGUGGAGGUGCUAUUGAAACUGUAAAUCUUGAGUGAUGGAGAGGCAGACGGAAUUCCCAGUGUAGCAGUGAAAUGCGUAGAGAUUGGGAGGAACACCGGUGGCGAAGGCGGUCUGCUGGACAUUAACUGACGCUGAGGAGCGAAAGCGUGGGGAGCAAACA